This 274-nucleotide ribosomal RNA is filed under the name uncultured bacterium. Its description in RNAcentral is "partial 16S ribosomal RNA". It matches the Rfam family "Bacterial small subunit ribosomal RNA", at positions 523 to 796 of the family's 1533-position model. The record is from RNAcentral.
AUACGGAGGGUGCAAGCGUUAUCCGGAAUCACUGGGUUUAAAGGGUGCGUAGGCGGCUCAAUCAGUCAGGGGUGAAAUCUUGCAGCUUAACUGUAAAAUUGCCUUUGAUACUGUUGAGCUUGAAUUAGGUUGAGGUUGGCGGAAUGUGACAUGUAGCGGUGAAAUGCAUAGAUAUGUCAUAGAACACCAAUUGCGAAGGCAGCUGGCUAGACCUUAAUUGACGCUGAGGCACGAAAGCGUGGGGAGCGAACAGGAUUAGAAACCCUAGUAGUCC